GAGCCUUGAUGUGUAGGAUAGGUGGGAGGCUUUGAAGUGUGGACGCCAGUCUGCAUGGAGCCGACCUUGAAAUACCACCCUUUAAUGUUUGAUGUUCUAACGUGGACCCGUAAUCCGGGUUGCGGACAGUGUCUGGUGGGUAGUUUGACUGGGGCGGUCUCCUCCUAAAGAGUAACGGAGGAGCACGAAGGUUGGCUAAUCCUGGUCGGACAUCA
Molecule: ribosomal RNA, 215 nt
Filed under: Escherichia coli
Lineage: Bacteria; Pseudomonadati; Pseudomonadota; Gammaproteobacteria; Enterobacterales; Enterobacteriaceae
Description: partial 23S ribosomal RNA
Rfam family: Bacterial large subunit ribosomal RNA
Source: RNAcentral